GAGCUUCCGGGAUGCAUGACGACUCUAAGUGGGCCAUCUUUGGUAAGCAGAACUGGCGCUAAGCUGCUCGACUGCUCGCUCAUCAGAUGCCACAAAAGGGUGUCGGCUCAUCUUGACAGCGGGACGGUGGUCACGGAAGUCGAGAUCCGCCAAGGAGCGUGUAACCACUCACCCGCCGAGUGG
Molecule: ribosomal RNA, 183 nt
Filed under: Mesodinium pulex
Lineage: Eukaryota; Ciliophora; Litostomatea; Cyclotrichida; Mesodiniidae
Description: partial Eukaryotic large subunit ribosomal RNA
Rfam family: Eukaryotic large subunit ribosomal RNA
Source: RNAcentral